UAAAAGAUGAAAGGAGGAGAAGAAGAGUAGAAAGGGGUAUCAUGAAAGAGUGGAAGGCUGAGAUCCUGAGACUGAGGGAGGCAGAGAGCCAGAGGGAGGCAGAGAGCCAGAGGGAGGCAGAGAGCCAGAGAGAGGCAGAGAGCCAGAGAGAGGCAGAGAGCCAGAGAGAGGCAGAGAGACAGAGAGAAGCAGAGAGACAGAGAGAAGCAGAGAGACAGAGAGAAGCAGAGAGACAGAGGGAGGCAGAGAGACAGAGAGAAGCAGAGAGACAGAGAGAAGCAGAGAGAGCCACAGAAGCAAUGGAGUACCAGAGAAAACUGCAGGAGAUCCACAGACUCAAACAACUGCUGGAUCUACUGAUGGUGGACCUACAACUGGCCCACGUAAGACAUGUCAUUGUUAUUAUUAAAAGGCAGUGUAUAUUUACCCAGCUGAAAAUGAAUAGUGGCAGACAGCGGUACGCUAACCCAAUGUUAACUUUUAUUCCUUUCCUUAACCCUUACCUUAACCUCACUGAAACUAUACCUAACCUUUACCUUAACCCAACCCUAGGUCCUGAACCUAACCUUCAUUUAUCUCAACCCCUAUGCCUUCCUUCUGCCGGUUGAAUAUCCACUUCCUUAUUAAUGUCAUCACUGUUGUUGUUGUUGAUAACUGUAUCUGUGCAGGUUGUAAAUAGUUGCUUAUUUCUACAAGCAUAAACAUCAGAGGCAACAUUGUUGUAACAUCACACAAAUUGUAACAGGAAUUUCUCAAACCCCUAACUGAAUGGGCAAGAAGGUUGUGUGUUUGUAUUUGUACACAUUUUGGACAUAAUUGAUUCCAUAAAAUGUCUCAUAAUUUUUUCAAACCAUGUCAAUACAUUAAUUGACAAUGAAUUGUCCAGAUGAAUUGAUCAACAUGACCCUGCUAUUGAUGUUGUCCAGUGUUUGAUUCAAUUACCUAGCUCUAGGUUGUAUUUCUGUGUAUCAUU
Molecule: long non-coding RNA, 973 nt
Organism: Oncorhynchus tshawytscha (Chinook salmon)
Lineage: Eukaryota; Metazoa; Chordata; Actinopteri; Salmoniformes; Salmonidae
Source: Ensembl